RNAcentral lists this ribosomal RNA (460 nucleotides) under uncultured bacterium. RNAcentral describes it as "partial 16S ribosomal RNA". It matches the Rfam family "Bacterial small subunit ribosomal RNA", at positions 338 to 795 of the family's 1533-position model. The record is from RNAcentral.
CCUACGGGGGGCAGCAGUGAGGAAUAUUGGUCAAUGGACGCAAGUCUGAACCAGCCAUGCCGCGUGCAGGAAGACGGCCCUAUGAGUUGUAAACUGCUUUUGUACGAGGGUAAACGCAGAUACGCGUACCUUUCUGAAAGUACCGUAUGAAUAAGGAUCGGCUAACUCCGUGCCAGCAGCCGCGGUAAUACGGAGGAUUCAAGCGUUAUCCGGAUUUAUUGGGUUUAAAGGGUGCGUAGGUGGUCGGAUAAGUUAGAGGUGAAAUCCUGAGGCUCAACUUCGGAAUUGCCUUUGAUACUGGUCGUCUAGAGAGUAGUUGAGGUAGGCGGAAUGUAUGGUGUAGCGGUGAAAUGCUUAGAGAUCAUGCAGAACACCGAUUGCGAAGGCAGCUUACCAAGCUACUUCUGACAUUGAGGCACGAAAGUGUGGGGAGCAAACAGGAUUAGAUACCCUUGUAGUC